CUCUGUGUAGAGCAAUGGGUAGCGUGUUGGAGUUCUAAUCCAAAAGUCGUGGGUUUGAAUCCCAACUCAGAUGA
Trichonephila clavipes is the source of this 74-nucleotide non-coding RNA. Lineage: Eukaryota; Metazoa; Arthropoda; Arachnida; Araneae; Nephilidae. The record is from the annotation of a GenBank genome assembly.